UUUAGAGGCGAUUUGUAUCCUCUCUCCCCCCUCUCAAGUUUCUCUCUCCUUGCGUCCCCAUCGUUCUAGGGUUACAUUUCCUCGCUGUCAUCCCUCACUAAAUCGCGUCCCAGCUCCAUUGAUUACCUUCGUUUCGUCACUAUACUACCCGCGUUUCUAUCACCAUCGGCUACUUAGUAUGGCGUCGACGUCAAGCGGCAAUGUCGGCGCAGGAUGCGGCAGCGGAGGGGAAAUGGGGGUUGCCACGGUGAAGAUGAGGGCGGGGACAACUUCAGUGCAGAAGAAUAAAGAAAGGGAGGGUGUUGGAGUGGUGAUGAUGAAGAAGGUGAAAAGAGAAAGAGGAGCGUCUAAAUGAAACAAAUUCCAUCUACCGCGACGUUACCAGUAAUUUGGGUUGAUUUGGAUCAUGAUGGUCGGAUUAGUGGUGCCGAAGCGGUCGCUUUUUUUUCAAGGAUCUAGCUUGAAUAAACAAGUUCUUGCCCAGGUU
Spinacia oleracea (spinach) is the source of this 487-nucleotide long non-coding RNA. RefSeq lists it as uncharacterized. NCBI's taxonomy places the organism in Eukaryota, Viridiplantae, Streptophyta, Magnoliopsida, Caryophyllales, Amaranthaceae. The record is from RefSeq and is a predicted model, not a curated record. The transcript is spliced from 3 exons.